This is a non-coding RNA of Chlorocebus sabaeus (green monkey), 1190 nucleotides long. The record is from the annotation of a RefSeq genome assembly. NCBI's taxonomy places the organism in Eukaryota, Metazoa, Chordata, Mammalia, Primates, Cercopithecidae.
GUUCUGCACUUGACCUCCAGAGGGCAAGGCCGCACAAACUGGAGCUUUUGUUUCUGUUGAAGAUCAAUUCACUGCUCAGUUUCUGCUUCCUGCAGCUGGUUGAGUUCUUUCUAGACAGAGACAAGUGACAAGAAUCAGAGGUUUAAAAGCAACCACAUUCAUCUCUGCAGGUUUUGUAGUUUUAUAUAAGCAAGGAGCUCGUCCAGCAAACCUUCCGCACACUUCUUGUUCUUGGUCUCUUCAGCCACUUUCCUUCUUGUUCUCUGGAGAUCUUGCAGAAAAGAGCCUAUAGUGUUUCCCUUGCUCAGCCAUGCUCCUGGUGUUCAUCCCACUGCUGGGGAUACAUUUUGUCCUGAGAACUGCCAGAGCCCAGUCAGUGACCCAGCCUGAUAUCCACAUCACUGUCUCUGAAGGAGCCUCACUGGAGUUGAGAUGUAACUAUUCCUAUGGGGCAACACCUUCUCUCUUCUGGUAUGUCCAGUCCCCCGGCCAAGGCCUCCAGCUGCUCCUGAAGUACUUUUCAGGAGACACUCUGGUUCAAGGCAUUAAAGGCUUUGAGGCUGAAUUUAAGAGGAGUCAAUAUUCCUUCAACCUGAGGAAACCCUCUGUGCAUUGGAGUGAUGCUGCUGAGUACUUCUGUGCUGCGGGUGCCACAGUGCCUGGGUCUGCAGGGGGAGCUGAACACAAACUGCCUAUGCUAGAGAAGUUUUCAGAGACUCAGUGUAUCUUCCUGUGGCAUUUUCAAAGAUCUCUUGCUUUUAUGAUGAGUGGAAAGAACUGUAUCAGAAACUUUUGUACUCCUUGUCUGCUUGCUGCCUCGGAGGAUAACCAGUGCUUCGGAGGAAAAGGAGAAGGAGGAGGAGAGAGCUCUUUAGCUGCCACUUAGCUCAUACUAUAAUGUCUACGAGGGUAGGUACCUAGGAACCCUGAAAAUAUAGAUCAAAUUACUAAAUUGUGGGCAAUGGCACUCCUUAGCCAAAUGGUGAACCAAGAUGUCAACAGUAUGUUUUAGGAUGUGGUGAUAUGACUACAUGUGAUAAAUAUGUUUAAGUGAUUUCUGGAAUGCUGUGAGGAAGGUGAAUGAUGUGUCAGAUAUAUAAAAUUAUGAAAAAGAAAUGUAUGCUCAUUUAAUGUUCCUGCCUCAGUCCCUUCCUUCUUUGCUGGUUUUGGACCACACUCUCAUCUACCAC